RNAcentral lists this ribosomal RNA (553 nucleotides) under Valenciennea muralis (mural goby). RNAcentral's name for it is "partial large subunit ribosomal RNA". It matches the Rfam family "Bacterial large subunit ribosomal RNA", at positions 1850 to 2604 of the family's 2925-position model. The record is from RNAcentral. Lineage: Eukaryota; Metazoa; Chordata; Actinopteri; Gobiiformes; Gobiidae.
GAGUCCCGCCUGCCCUGUGACUGAGAGUUUAACGGCCGCGGUAUUUUGACCGUGCGAAGGUAGCGUAAUCACUUGUCUUUUAAAUGGAGACCAGUAUGAAUGGCAUAACGAGGGCUAAGCUGUCUCCUUUUUCCAGUCAAUGAAAUUGAUCUAUCCGUGCAGAAGCGGAUAUAAGUACAUAAGACGAGAAGACCCUAUGGAGCUUUAGAUACCAGAAUAGCCCACGUUAAAGACCCUUAAUUAUGAGGAAAAAACCAAAUGGUCACUAUUCUCAUAUCUUUGGUUGGGGCGACCGCGGAGAAACAGAAAACCCCCACGUGGAACAAGCCAUCCCUUUAAAGCCAGAGCCACAGCUCUAACAAACAGAAAAUCUGACCAACAAGAUCCGGCAAAGCCGAUCAACGGACCCAGUUACCCUAGGGAUAACAGCGCAAUCCCCUUUUAGAGCCCAUAUCGACAAGGGGGUUUACGACCUCGAUGUUGGAUCAGGACUUCCUAAUGGUGCAGCCGCUAUUAAGGGUUCGUUUGUUCAACGAUUAAAGUCCUACGUGAU